UACGUAGGGUGCGAGCGUUGUCCGGAAUUACUGGGCGUAAAGAGCUCGUAGGUGGUUUGUCGCGUUGUUCGUGAAAUCUCACGGCUUAACUGUGAGCGUGCGGGCGAUACGGGCAGACUAGAGUACUGCAGGGGAGACUGGAAUUCCUGGUGUAGCGGUGGAAUGCGCAGAUAUCAGGAGGAACACCGGUGGCGAAGGCGGAUCUCUGGGCAGUAACUGACGCUGAGGAGCGAAAGCGUGGGGAGCGAACAGG
This 253-nucleotide ribosomal RNA is filed under the name uncultured bacterium. Its description in RNAcentral is "partial 16S ribosomal RNA". It matches the Rfam family "Bacterial small subunit ribosomal RNA", at positions 524 to 776 of the family's 1533-position model. The record is from RNAcentral.